This is a transfer RNA of Saitoella complicata NRRL Y-17804, 72 nucleotides long. It matches the Rfam family "tRNA". From Rfam's summary of the family: Transfer RNA (tRNA) molecules are approximately 80 nucleotides in length. The record is from Rfam. Lineage: Eukaryota; Fungi; Ascomycota; Saitoellomycetes; Saitoellales; Saitoellaceae.
UCCGUUAUGGUCUAGGGGCUAGGAUACUUCGCUCUCACCGAAGAGGCCGGGGUUCGAUUCCCCGUAACGGAA